Molecule: long non-coding RNA, 481 nt
Organism: Pseudopipra pipra
Lineage: Eukaryota; Metazoa; Chordata; Aves; Passeriformes; Pipridae
Exons: 2
Source: RefSeq, a predicted model, not a curated record
CAGGAUUCCGGGAUUCUGUGACUCUGUGAGUGUGAUUCCAGGAUUCCCGGAUUCCCGGAUCCCAGGAUUCCGUGCCUCUGUGAGUCUGUGAUUCCCAGAUUCCAGGAUUCCCAGAUUCCCGGAUCCCAGGAUUCCGUGCCUCUGUGAGUCUGUGAUUCCAGGAUUCCCGGAUCCCAGGAUUCCCGGAUCCCAGGAUUCCGUGCCUCUGAUUCCAGGAUUCCCGGAUUCCCGGAUCCCAGGAUUCCGUGCCUCUGUGAGUCCCCGCCCCAGCCCAGCCCUCCCCCAGCCCCGGUGAUUUUCCCUGGGGAUUCCCCUCUGGGAAUUCCCGCAGAGCCGCCUCCCCAGGGGCCACAGCCCGACCCGGGGGUGUGAAUUUAAACCGGAUUAAAUCGUGUUAAACCCACGCCUGGACCUUCCCCUUCCGAAGGCAGCCGGGCCCUAACCGGGUUUAGCCUCGAGAAUUAAACUAAACUGAAUUAAA